CCCUCCCCAGCCACCGGCAAGUGUCACUCUAGUCUCCGUCCCUGUGAAUUUGACCACUCUGGGCACCUCAGGAAAGGCUCCCGCCCUCCCUCUGGGGACAUACCUCCAGGAACAUCACUGGCUUGAACUCCUGUUCCAAACACCUGCUCUGAACCUCGGUCACCAGUUGGACCACUAGGACUGAGAGUUCCUGACGACAAAGAGAAAAUGACAAUGUUGGAGUCGAGAGGACUUCCCGUGUGCACUACUGAGACAAAGAACUCCCUUUUAUGGAAGACGAUGCUGCUUUCUAACGAUGUGAACGGACUUGCCCAAGGUCAUCUAGACUUCAACAAAGAGGCCAAGAAGGCUGUUACCCACCCACCCCCCACACACACCCAUUCUACCACACGGGGGGCCUCCCCAGUCUAGGUCUGCUCUUAGGGGGGUGCACAAACCACUCCCGUGUUGGGCGUUUUGUUCUAUUUGUGCAUCUCCCAGCCCACAGCCCAGGGACCAACUCUUCCCCUUUGUCAGCCCUCUUUAGCCCUGACCCUGGUGCCUGCCACAAUCCUAGACCCGUGGCAAGUGGCCAACAAAUUGUUGUUGUCUCAAAGGAAUUGAAGUAAUUAAGCCCGUGGGGUUAUUGCAUUAAAGUAACAACUUACUUGAUAUGUACAGAUAAUGUCAGAUCUGCUUUAGAUCCCCUGGAUUCUAAAGUAAAUGAGUUUCUGGAUCCUUCACUAGCUCAAAACCUUCAUUCAUUCAUUCAUUUGUCCAUUCAUUUGGCCUUUCUUGAGCUGCCCCUUGGGCUAGGCACUGUGUUAGGGACAGACACACAGUCCAGUCCAUAGAAGAAUCUUGCCAGUGUUAAGUGUAGAUAUUAUGAAGGCAUAUGCUUAUUGUAAAAGAGAAAAAAAAAAACCAUACCAAUUUAAACACGAGGAUGGAAAACGAAUUCAGAUGGAAACUGAGACAGCUGUAUACAAGGAAGUUCUCUCCCUCUCUCUCUCAGCCCCCCUAUCCCUUUCUGGUGGCUCAGAAACACACAGUUAUUUCCUAAAGCAACGGAGGAAGGCUGCAUAAUUCCUGCAUGGCGAGUUGGCAUUGUAGGGGCAUAGAUCUGGAAGGGGCCUUCGGGAUCCCUUUGCCCCGUCUAAGAAGGGUUUAUUGACUUUUUU
This is a long non-coding RNA of Felis catus (domestic cat), 1160 nucleotides long. RefSeq lists it as uncharacterized. The transcript is spliced from 3 exons. The record is from RefSeq and is a predicted model, not a curated record. NCBI's taxonomy places the organism in Eukaryota, Metazoa, Chordata, Mammalia, Carnivora, Felidae.